Molecule: ribosomal RNA, 385 nt
Filed under: Oreohelix idahoensis
Lineage: Eukaryota; Metazoa; Mollusca; Gastropoda; Stylommatophora; Oreohelicidae
Description: partial large subunit ribosomal RNA
Rfam family: Archaeal large subunit ribosomal RNA
Source: RNAcentral
CAUAGCCUUAUGGUAAUAUAAGGUGCUUUCUGCUCAAUGAUUUAAAUAGCCGCAGUACCCUGACUGUGCAAAGGUAGCAUAAUAAAUUGUCCUUUAAUUGGGGUCCUGAAUGAAGGAAAAACGGGGAAACUGUCUUAAAGAUUUUGUUCAAAUUUAUUCAUUAGGUGCAAAUUCCUAUAUAAAUUGAAAGACGAGAAGACCCUAAGAGUUUUUUAUAAUUUUGUUGGGGCGACAUAUUAACAUUAAACUUAAUACUUAUGUAUAUAUAAAGGUAAUAAGUAAACUACCUUAGGGAUAACAGCAUAAUAUUUAGAUUGUGACCUCGAUGUUGGAUUAGGUAAUUUAAAUCAAAAAUGUAAAAAGUUCUGUUCGAACCCUACGUGAU